Molecule: ribosomal RNA, 1487 nt
Filed under: uncultured bacterium
Lineage: Bacteria
Description: bacterial SSU rRNA
Rfam family: Bacterial small subunit ribosomal RNA
Source: RNAcentral
AGUUUGAUUAUGGCUCAGGAUGAACGCUAGCUACAGGCUUAACACAUGCAAGUCGAGGGGCAGCAUGGUCUUAGCUUGCUAAGGCCGAUGGCGACCGGCGCACGGGUGAGUAACACGUAUCCAACCUGCCGUCUACUCUUGGACAGCCUUCUGAAAGGAAGAUUAAUACAAGAUGGCAUCAUGAGUCCGCAUGUUCACAUGAUUAAAGGUAUUCCGGUAGACGAUGGGGAUGCGUUCCAUUAGAUAGUAGGCGGGGUAACGGCCCACCUAGUCUUCGAUGGAUAGGGGUUCUGAGAGGAAGGUCCCCCACAUUGGAACUGAGACACGGUCCAAACUCCUACGGGAGGCAGCAGUGAGGAAUAUUGGUCAAUGGGCGAGAGCCUGAACCAGCCAAGUAGCGUGAAGGAUGACUGCCCUAUGGGUUGUAAACUUCUUUUAUAAAGGAAUAAAGUCGGGUAUGGAUACCCGUUUGCAUGUACUUUAUGAAUAAGGAUCGGCUAACUCCGUGCCAGCAGCCGCGGUAAUACGGAGGAUCCGAGCGUUAUCCGGAUUUAUUGGGUUUAAAGGGAGCGUAGAUGGAUGUUUAAGUCAGUUGUGAAAGUUUGCGGCUCAACCGUAAAAUUGCAGUUGAUACUGGAUAUCUUGAGUGCAGUUGAGGCAGGCGGAAUUCGUGGUGUAGCGGUGAAAUGCUUAGAUAUCACGAAGAACUCCGAUUGCGAAGGCAGCCUGCUAAGCUGCAACUGACAUUGAGGCUCGAAAGUGUGGGUAUCAAACAGGAUUAGAUACCCUGGUAGUCCACACGGUAAACGAUGAAUACUCGCUGUUUGCGAUAUACUGCAAGCGGCCAAGCGAAAGCGUUAAGUAUUCCACCUGGGGAGUACGCCGGCAACGGUGAAACUCAAAGGAAUUGACGGGGGCCCGCACAAGCGGAGGAACAUGUGGUUUAAUUCGAUGAUACGCGAGGAACCUUACCCGGGCUUAAAUUGCAGAUGAAUUACGGUGAAAGCCGUAAGCCGCAAGGCAUCUGUGAAGGUGCUGCAUGGUUGUCGUCAGCUCGUGCCGUGAGGUGUCGGCUUAAGUGCCAUAACGAGCGCAACCCUUGUUGUCAGUUACUAACAGGUUCCGCUGAGGACUCUGACAAGACUGCCAUCGUAAGAUGUGAGGAAGGUGGGGAUGACGUCAAAUCAGCACGGCCCUUACGUCCGGGGCUACACACGUGUUACAAUGGGGGGUACAGAGGGCCGCUACCACGCGAGUGGAUGCCAAUCCCCAAAACCUCUCUCAGUUCGGACUGGAGUCUGCAACCCGACUCCACGAAGCUGGAUUCGCUAGUAAUCGCGCAUCAGCCACGGCGCGGUGAAUACGUUCCCGGGCCUUGUACACACCGCCCGUCAAGCCAUGGGAGCCGGGGGUACCUGAAGUGCGUAACCGCGAGGAGCGCCCUAGGGUAAAACUGGUGACUGGGGCUAAGUCGUAACAAGGUACCC